Peromyscus leucopus (white-footed mouse) is the source of this 104-nucleotide small nuclear RNA. NCBI's taxonomy places the organism in Eukaryota, Metazoa, Chordata, Mammalia, Rodentia, Cricetidae. The record is from RefSeq and is a predicted model, not a curated record.
GUUCUCUUCAGCAGCACAUACAUUAAAAUUGGAAUAAUAUGGAGAAGACCAGCAUGGUCCCUGCUCAGGAUGACAUGCAAAUUCAUGAAGCGUUCCAUAUUUUU